Molecule: long non-coding RNA, 533 nt
Organism: Trachemys scripta elegans
Lineage: Eukaryota; Metazoa; Chordata; Testudines; Emydidae
Exons: 3
Source: RefSeq, a predicted model, not a curated record
GUUAGAGAGAGGUGGAGAAAGAGAAAGAGAAAGCGGCAGGGAGCCGAAGAGAGACUGAAAAGUACAAGGAAGCUCUAGAGAGUCGAAGAUCGUCAGAUAGAAAGUUGGAGAGGAAGUUCUAGAGAGUUGAAGAGAGUCAGGUAGAAAGAGAGCCGGACAGUUGUCAAGAGCCGAAAGUUGUGGAGAGCCCAAGAGGAAGUUGUUCGGAGCGGCAGCACGUCAGACAGAAAGGCGCAGAGAUCUAGACAGAAAGUUGUAGAGAGCUAACGCAACAAAAAGCCACCACAGAAACCAUGAGAACCAAAGGAAAACAGACGACAACAGACAACAGAUGAGAGCAGAACACAAGGCAGAAGAAAAACGGGCACACACCACAAUCUCAAACCAGCUGAUCUCCUGGGCUUUCAAGGCUCAGCGUCAGCAACAUGAAAGAUGCAACAGAUUCUCCAUUGCUUGGCAUCAUUGAGCUUGACAUUGGCUGUGUCUCCACGGGCUACCCUCUUGCUCAAACUCAAGGUAAUGCAGGAAUCAUG